RNAcentral lists this ribosomal RNA (353 nucleotides) under Neobidessus sp. UNM KBMNesp698. RNAcentral's name for it is "mitochondrial SSU rRNA". Lineage: Eukaryota; Metazoa; Arthropoda; Insecta; Coleoptera; Dytiscidae. The record is from RNAcentral.
UUUGAAUGUAAAUAAGGAAAAUCAAAUUAGUAAUAGUUAUGAUCUUUAAAUUUAAAGAUUUUGGCGGUAUUUUAGUCUAUUCAGAGGAACCUGUUCUAUAAUUGAUAUUCCACGAUAAAAUGUACUUUAAUUAUUAGUUUGUAUAUCGUCGUUUUUAAUUGUUUUAUAAGAAAUUUAAUAAUUAAGAUUUUUAAUUAAAAAAUAAAUCAGAUCAAGGUGCAGUUUAUAUUAAAGAAGAAAUGGGUUACAAUAAAUUUAUUUAUUAUGAAUUUGCUUAUUUAAAUUAGUGAAGAAGGUGGAUUUGAUAGUAAUAGAAUUAACAUAAAUUUUAUGAUUUUGGCUCUAAAAUGUGU